Molecule: small RNA, 1641 nt
Filed under: Pongo abelii (Sumatran orangutan)
Lineage: Eukaryota; Metazoa; Chordata; Mammalia; Primates; Hominidae
Description: retained intron
Source: RNAcentral
AUCUGGCUUUAAAUAUUAGUCAGUUUCAUGGCUAUGACUAGAUUGUUUUCUUGUAUAACUAAAUACCUGUAUAAAAUGAACUAAUGUUUUCUCUCCCCUCCCUACCCCUUCCUUAUGAACAAUGCUUUAGGUAUAUUGAAAUCUUUAAGAGCAGUAGAGCUGAAGUUAGAACUCACUAUGAUCCACCACGAAAGCUUAUGGCCAUGCAGCGGCCAGGUCCCUAUGACAGACCUGGGGCUGGCAGAGGGUAUAACAGCAUUGGCAGAGGAGCUGGCUUUGAGAGGAUGAGGCGUGGUGCUUAUGGUGGAGGUACGUGAGGAUUCGCAAGGUUUGGCAAGUAGUCUGUUCCUUUGUCUAGGUGUUUUGAUUGAUUGUACUUUGUCUUUCAGGCUAUGGAGGCUAUGACGAUUACAAUGGCUAUAAUGAUGGCUAUGGAUUUGGGUCAGAUAGAUUUGGAAGAGGUAAGGUAAGAAUUGAAUUUCUCAGUUGAAGGAUGCUUACACUCUUGUCCAUCUAGACCUCAAUUACUGUUUUUCAGGAAUGUCUGAUCACAGAUACGGGGAUGGUGGCUCUACUUUCCAGAGCACAACAGGACACUGUGUACACAUGCGUGGAUUACCUUACAGAGCUACUGAGAAUGACAUUUAUAAUUUUUUUUCACCGCUCAAUCCUGUGAGAGUACACAUUGAAAUUGGUCCUGAUGGCAGAGUAACUGGUGAAGCAGAUGUCGAGUUCGCAACUCAUGAAGAUGCUGUGGCAGCUAUGUCAAAAGACAAAGCAAAUAUGCGUAAGUGUGAUUGAGCAUUUGUGGGCUCUUAACAGGUGAUUGUGUGACUAACAUUUACAAUAGAAAAAUGGAAAAAUAAGGAUAUAUGAGAAGUUUCCUCUCCAGUAAUAGAUUAAUUCUUGGGGGAUGGGCAGUGUGUUGAAGGUUUGGGUUUUAAAAAUUAGUAUAACAGAUUUGUGAUAUGCACAUCUUGAAGUGUAUAUCCUUAAUUGACAAUAUAGAUGAAUAUGUAAAGGCUAGAUUUUGGAGUUAAAGUAGAUCACCUAAGAGAAGUAGCUAGAAUUUUCUUUGCCAAAGUAUUUGAAGUUCACAGAUCUGCUUGUUUAAAAACUUUAUAAAAGUGCUUACUCUGUUUUGUUUCACCAACAAACAUUUUCAAACUUUUUUUUUCUCAUUUCAGAACACAGAUAUGUAGAACUCUUCUUGAAUUCUACAGCAGGAGCAAGCGGUGGUGCUUACGGUAGCCAAAUGCUAGGAGGCAUGGGUUUGUGUAAAUAUCACUUUAGUGUCUUUUUUUAAGCUAACCUUGUAUGCCUUUUCUCUCAUUUCAGAACACAGAUAUGUAGAACUCUUCUUGAAUUCUACAGCAGGAGCAAGCGGUGGUGCUUAUGGUAGCCAAAUGAUGGGAGGCAUGGGCUUGUCAAACCAGUCCAGUUACGGGGGCCCAGCCAGCCAGCAGCUGAGUGGUGGUUAUGGAGGCGGCUAUGGUGGCCAGAGCAGCAUGAGUGGAUACGACCAAGUUUUACAGGAAAACUCCAGUGAUUUUCAAUCAAACAUUGCAUAGGUAACCAAGGAGCAAUGAACAGCAGCUACUACAGUAGUGGAAGCCGUGCAUCUGUGGGCGUGAACGGAAU